Molecule: long non-coding RNA, 2394 nt
Filed under: Homo sapiens (human)
Lineage: Eukaryota; Metazoa; Chordata; Mammalia; Primates; Hominidae
Description: non-protein coding PAX8-AS1:30
Source: RNAcentral
UUUCUUUUCAACUCAAGACAUUGACCAAGUGCCUAUCAUGACUCAGGUACAAAGCACUGGGAAUACAACCUUGAACAAGACAAGAAUCCUGGCCUUCAAGGAACUUCGAACCUUUUGGGGGAUAUGAUAAGACACAUUAGGAAUCACCAUGUUAAUGGUUAUCUUUCUUGAAGGAUAUAAGUCCAGGUGCUUGGGGAGACCCACACAUAUACUCACAGAAAUGAGUUAUUUAAAGAAGACGGUCCAGAUUCCACAGUCCAAAAAAAAAAGAGGUUUGCCCUGCUUCUGAAGGAGUCAGGGUAUGAAUGCAGAGGUCUUCCUGUUGGCUCACAUAUCAGAUCUUCAACGUCAACAUUAAAUGCGAGUGAUGCUUCCCCCUCUGUGAAUGUGGCUUUGGGUAUGGCUAAUCCACACCCUGCACUCUGGCCUUCAGAAGCCCAGGGAGAGAAGCCUCCCAGAAGCAACCUUCCAGAACCUUCUCCAUCCUCCCACCGACCUCCCCAGCCCCUGUCCUCUCUUUGAAUCUCGUUGUCAAGUUCUUCCCGCAGACACCUGGCUCCUUGAGGGGAGGUGCAGCUUUCAUCUGACCAUGCAGGCGUGCUUUGCAGUGGGUAGAGCAGUGCUUUCCUCCUCCCAGCUGCACACUGGAAUCACCUGGAGAGUCCAGAAACUUCCCGCCUCAGUGAAAGAACAUCAGUGUAUCAGCACAGCAAAUAUUCCAAAUGCCAGGCUGGAUUCCCUCCAAUUACCAGGACCUCCAGGCUUCUCCUCCUUUCAAGAACUUUCUGACCCUGGAUCCAGUCUAAAUGUUGGUUAUAAACUCACCUGACAUCCACAGGGCCCUUCCAAAAUACUGUCAAGGCUGACUGCUGGUGCCUGGAACCUGCACACCCUCCUGGGACUCUGCAUCUCUGCUGGGGCUGGUUUCUCCUCUGAGCCACCUUAAGGAAUCCCACCCUGACCCGGUCAGAGCUCACCAUGCCUCCCUCUCCUACUUGCUCAGCAUUUUGUGUCUAUCUAGACUGAAGCCUUUGCUUUCUCUCUGUGAUUAUGGUGAAAGUUCAGUUUGCUUUCCUAUCUCUAGAAUGUCAGCACGAAGGCAGAGGCAUGGUCUCCUGAGUUCCAUAACCCCAAAGCCUAACUCCCUGCCUGCCACACUGAGGGGCUUAGUAGACAUUGACUUACUAAAUUGAAUAGUUGAGUAAUAAUGCUCUUUGAAAUAAUUUGGAGUUAGAUCUUGAGCCUUGUGUGGCCAGAGGAUGGGUGAGGACACAUCAUAAAAACUAAAGGUAACUGAGCAUGCCAGUGGUUGGGGUGAGAAAUUUGCAUGGAGCACUCCAGACACAGAGGCAGCAAAACCCAAGUGCUGGGAAGUCAGAGUGAGAGAGUGAAGGGGCAGUGAGUGCUUCUUUAGGAGCUGGAUCAAAACCUAAGAUGAUCUGGCCACAUGGUGCAGACUGAGCACACACUUGGGAGAGAAAUGGGCCAGGAGGAGAGGAGAGAGGUUCACCACAGGACAGUGGAUGACUGGGAAUAGAAGCCCUCCCCAUGGUGGACCAAGAAGUCUGUGAAGCUGAGAGAAAGACAAAAGAAAUCACGACUUCUGUAGGUAGCUGGGAUGGAAACCUCAGGGGUGACAGGGUCUUUAAAGGAAAUCUCAAGGAAGGCAUCAUGUUCUGGGUGUGCUCCAGGGAUGCUGAGUAAGAAAAGACCAGCCUUUCUGUGUGUGUCUUUACUCUGCCACAAGGCACCUGGGCUCCUAAAUGACCAAUACACAUGUGCUAUACUGGUGCCAAGAAAGAAGGGUGUUUUGUAGGAAAGUCAAGGUGAGAGGAGGUGCCCAGGACUUGGCUCCUUUCUUUGAAGGGUGACGGUGUAAAUUCUCCAUGCUGGGGAUCCUACUGAUGGAUGGAGGCAUGUCGAUCUCAUCAUUUCACAGAGUGGGGAGCUAUGGCCACAACGUGCCUAUCACACAAGUCCAGCCUCACGUCAGCUGGACACCAGCUGUUCUGACACUUGUCAGCACAUGGGGCACCCGGAAGUUCAUGGUGUUCUGCAAAGAACGCCACAAAACAGUGAGCUCAACUUCUUGAAAGUCAUAAUGUGUUGCUAAGUCCGAUCCCAGAUCCUAAAAAUAAUAUGAGGUAGUGGCCAUUGAACAGAAAAAAUUUACAUCUUAAACUUGAAGAUAAGUACAAGUGUACCUUUUUCUACCACUGUUGUUCAGUUUUAUUAUAUUGACAAGCACCUCUGCCCACCCUGUGGGGUAAAACUGUUUGAAAGUGUUUAUGAAAGUUUUAUAUAAAUAUUGGUUGAUCAAAUGUACAAAAUAUGCAUGAUGGCACCAUAUUGUGUAUAAUAGUGACAAAUACAGUCUAUGUGGGUGGAGAAACA